GGUGUUGAAAGUGGUUGUGCCUAAAGUGAAGGAGGAGGAGAGGAAGGAUGUGUAUCAAGUCACCGUUGAGUAGUGUACAAGUUUAUUGUUAGUGAAGGUAAAUGGAUGUGAAUAAGGACUAGGGUGUUAGAAUUGUGUGACCCAAAUUCUAAGAGAUUGCUUGCAAGUUAAGUUAAACAAAAAUAUAUUUUCUUUCUAGAAGAUUUAGUAUUUAUUAGUAUAAUAUAUUUAGCAUUUAUUAGUAUAGUUUAUUUGACUUACUAAUUUAGCCUAUAAAUAGGCUCCUUUACAAUCUUAGAAUUAAGAGACACCCAUUAGAUUAGAACUCAUAACACAUUCAGAGAAUUUUGUGUUUACGUUUGAGGGUUCUUUGUUUUUCGGGUUUUCGGGGUUUAGUUUUUAUCUCCAUCUUUUGUACUCUUCAUUCUUUUGCCAUUAUAGUAAAUUUAUCUUUGCCCGUGGUUUUUUAUCCUCUUUUGAGGGGUUUUUCCACGUUAAAUUUGUGUGUUCAUCUUCUCAAUUUCUUCUACUAUUUUUACUUGUUCGUUGCUUAUUCGGGACGAUCCUAACAAGUGGUAUCAGGGCUAGUUUAACUUUCAUAGAUCAGCCCGGUCAGAGAUGGCAGCAACAAUGUUUGAAAUUGAGAAGUUCGAUGGUGAGACAAAUUUCAAUCUGUGGCAAGUUCAGAUGAUGGCAAUUCUAGUUCAAAAUGGCUUGAAAAAGGUUGUUACAGGGAAAAAGCCUGAGAAUCUAAAUCAAACAGAAUGGGAAGAGCUUGAUGAAAAGGCCUUGUCUGCAAUCCAGUUGUGCCUCGCGAAUACAGUAUUGCAAGAGGUAUUGAUGGAGAAGACCUCAUUCGCCUUGUGGAAAAGGUUAGAAACUCUUUAUGCGACUAAGUCUCUGGCUAACCGUUUAGUGUUGAAACAACGUCUAUUUACGUUUCGCAUGAACGAAGGUGAGCUUCUUAAAGAUCACAUCAGUCAAUUCAUUACUCUUUUAAAUGAUUUAAAGAACGUUGAGGUUCAUAUUGACGAUGAAGAUCAAGCUAUGCUAUUAUUGUGCUCUUUACCCUCUUCAUACAAGUCUUUCAGGGAGACCCUGAUUUAUGGCAGAGACAAACUCUCGUUCGAAGAUGUGAAGGGUCAUUUGUUGAGUAGAGACAAACUCGACAAUGAGUUUGAUUUGAAUAGCAAAGCAGAUAGACAAGCUUCCGUUUUGGUAGCAUCAAAGAAACGAGACAAAAGGUGUCGCUAUUGCAAAAAGUUAGGUCACGUCAAAGCAGAUUGUUAUAAACUGCGAAAUAAAAGAGCUACUGAGAGUAACGAGGAAGAUGUAGCUGGUGCUAAUUUGGUCGAUGAAGGCGGUGAUGAUUUCUUGUUAGUGUCAACGAGCGAUAACUCCAAGCUUAAGUCUGAGUAGAUCCUAGAUUCAGGAUGUUCUUUCCACAUGUGUCCCAAUAGAGAAUGGUUCUCCACAUACAGUUCAGUUGAAGGUGGAGUUGUGCACAUGGGAAACGAUUCAUCUAGUAAAAUAAUCGGUAUUGGUACUGUUAAAAUUAGGAUACACGAUGGGACGAUUAGGACACUCUCAGAUGUCAGGUAUGUACCUGAUUUACGAAAGAAUCUCAUCUCCUUGAGUAUUUUAGACUUGAAAGGAUGCAGAAUCAACAUCGAGUCGAGCGACAUUAAAGUAUCUCGUGGAGUUCUCGUUUUGUUAAAAGGUAAAAGAACCGGCAGUCUUUAUAUUCUGGAAGGUUCUACAGUGACCGGUGAAAUCGGACGUCCCUCGUCCGUUACGGAGUCAAAGUCUACUCAUUUGAAGCGGAGGCAACUUGGUCAUAGGAGGGAAAAAUGUAUGACCGUUUCGUUGAAGAGAGGUUCUCUUUUGGAUGCAAGUUUUGAAAAGUUAGGGCACUGUAUUCGUGAAAAUCAGACCCGGGUUAGUUUUGAUUUGGCAGUGCACAAGUCGAAGGCUAGAAGUCUUCCAGCUUCUAAGCAUAGAUUCGACUCAGUUAAUUCCCUGCAUAGUUCAAGAUAGGCCCGUGGCGGGUUUUGGCAAAGAUGGCAUUGAAAGAAUUUGUGUCAAGGUGGAGAUUGUUAGAAUUGUGUGACCCAAAUUCUAAGAGAUUGCUUGCAAGUCAAGUUAAACAAAAAUAUAUUUUCUUUCUAGAAGAUUUAGUAUUUAUUAGUAUAAUAUAUUUAGCAUUUAUUAGUAUAGUUUAUUUGACUUACUAAUUUAGCCUAUAAAUAAGCUCCUUUACUAUCUUAGAAUUAAGAGACACCCAUUAGAUUAGAACUCAUAACACAUUCAGAGAAUUUUGUGUUUACGUUUGAGGGUUCUUUGUUUUUCGGGUUUUCGGGGUUUAGUUUUUAUCUCCAUCUUUUGUACUCUUCAUUCUUUUGCCAUUAUAGUAAAUUUAUCUUUGCCCGUGGUUUUUUAUCCUCUUUUGAGGGGUUUUUCCACGUUAAAUUUGUGUGUUCAUCUUCUCAAUUUCUUCUACUAUUUUUACUUGUUCGUUGCUUAUUCGGGACGAUCCUAACAUAGGGUUUUUGCUGCUUUAGGGUGAUGGAGAGUUAAUGUUAGCUCAUAUUGUAAUGUAAUCUUCGAGUCUUUAAGAUGCGAGUUUAAUAAAUAAACUAGGGUUAUGUUUUGUAUGAUAAAAGUAGUUUCUCUCCAUCUUUAGUUUGUUAGCUUCAUUUCUGC
This 2703-nucleotide long non-coding RNA is filed under the name Gossypium barbadense (sea-island cotton). RNAcentral describes it as "long non-coding RNA (GBAR_LNC007640)". The record is from RNAcentral. Lineage: Eukaryota; Viridiplantae; Streptophyta; Magnoliopsida; Malvales; Malvaceae.